This is a non-coding RNA of Equus caballus (horse), 4780 nucleotides long. NCBI's taxonomy places the organism in Eukaryota, Metazoa, Chordata, Mammalia, Perissodactyla, Equidae. The record is from RefSeq and is a predicted model, not a curated record.
AAUGAGCGAGGGAGGCAGGGCUGGGCAGAGGGAGAAGCUGAGCCCUGAGGCAGUCAGAACAGAGAUCUCAGCCAGACCCACAGAAAGCUCUGGAAGAGGGGUGAUGCUUCAGUGUUGUCCAAGUUUAGGUAAGGGGCUGGCUUUUGUACUCCUGUUUGGAGCAGGAGUUGGGUGUGGGCUGCUCCCCAGUGUGUGUGUGUGUGUGUGUGUGUGUGUGUGUGUGUGUGACAUCGCACAAUGCAGCUCCCCUGGCUGAGGCCCAUUUCUGGCUGGAGGCUCUGCUGUGAGCUGUCAGCUGCCACCACUGCUAGCAGCUGGGGGAAUGAGUACCUCUGUCCUGAAGGGGGACCUGGACGGCACACCCACGGCCUCGGUGCCCUCAUGUCUAUUGCAGCAUUUCCUGUCCUCUUCUUACCUAACUUCGCAGAAGCUUCAGCACGGUUGACCACUCCCUCCUAGAAAAGAGCCCUUCCUUGGUUCCCAGGAGACCACACCUUUGUUUUUUUCUUCUAUCUCUCUGGCCGUUUCUCCUUAUUCCCUUUCAGAGUCUCCCCUUCCUCCUCCUGGGCACUCCAUUCUUCUGGUUCUUCUCUCCCAGUGAUCUCACACCGUCUCACCAGUUAAAAAAAAACAAUGCUCUUGGAUGCCAAUGUUUAUGUCUCUAGCCCAGAACUUUUUCUGAGCUUCUAGCUAAUACAUGCAGCUACCAGCCUGUGGGUACCUCACAGGCAUCUACUCGUCACAGCCACAGCAGAUGUCUUGGCUUCCCUGCUCCACUGUAACUGUUCCUUCCCUGCCUGCUCUUUUCCAUUUCAGAAAAUGGCACCACUUCCAAUCCAGCUUCUCAAAGCUGGAACCCAGGGCUGUAUCCUAGAUUUCUCUCUUUUACUCAGUUGCUUCUGCCUUCUCGAAUGCCUCCACUGCUCUCCUGCCCCCACCUCCAGCACACCCCACCAAGGAGAGCCUCCCACUCCCUUCCCAUUCCACACCUGACCCUUCCCACACCCUCCUCCACACGGCAGCCAGAUGUGGACCUGCCAUGACUCAGAGAGAAUCCAAGCUCCUCCACGCCAGGCACAGGUGUCUUCUCUGGGUGCCAUCCCCAUCCUGCCUACCUCUCCAACCUCAGCUUCUGCUGCUGUCUGCAGCAUCCUCGCUGUAUUUAAGGCUGCAGAGUCAUGGAAGGGACCUGAGUGUGGUGUCACCUCUUCCUGACGUCAGAAUGAAUUCAGUUAAUCUCAGGAACAUUCUACAGUGGGAGUCACCUGCUUUUGCCAAAGGGAGUUUGACUUUCAUGGCUCAGUAAUCGUAGGCAGGGGUAGGGGGAUCUUGGCAGGAAGGUGUCAGAGGAUGGUGGCCCUGGGCUGGUCAAUGGGCUGUACCAUUUAAGAGAGAGUCUGACUGCUGUCACCCACAGGCCCGUGACAGCCCACAUGAGCCUCCCUCCUGGCCUUUUUCUUUCUGCCCAGGAAAUUCUUAUAGUCAGCUUUUCCUUUUUCCUUUUUCUUGCUGUGGCUCCUAGUUAGACAAUUUAUCACAGAGCUGCAAGUGGACAUAAACAUUUUAUCCUGUACAUGUAGACACAGUCAGUGAGUUUAAUACUAUGGAGAACAUUGCUCAUUUGCCUCAAUUUACCUUUUUUAGAGAGAAAUAUCCCUGAGAUCAUUGCCAGUUAUAGGAGUAACAUGGUUAGAGGUGAGAGGUUCAUCUUUCGAAAUUUUCCAGGAAAACCGAGGUCUACUCAAGGAGUCACUGUCCACAGACACUUACCUGCAAUGCUCCAUAUCUAAAAAGCUCUGAAAACCAAGUGUAGUUUUUCCCUCCUUCCUUUGGUGGCAAAGCUAGAACUGAACUCAUUUGAUGGCAAGCCCUUACCUGGCCCGAAGGUAUUUGUGGCAAAUGUGACCCAAACUGAUGUAAAUCCGCUUAUAGUUUGAAUUUUUCCUUUUAGUGUGACUAUUCAAAACUUCUAUCUCAGAAACGUUAAUAUGCUUGAUUUGAUUGCAUCUGAAAUCUUUUUCACUUUAAGAGCUCGUUCUUAGUCUCCAAUUGCUCUGGGGAACCUGUGGUGUAGUUCCAAGUCGAGUCUGAAGGCCUGAGGACCAGGAGAGCUGAUGGUGUAAGUUCCACUCCACGCGCAGGAGGAAAACCAAUGUCCUAGCUUGAAAAAAGGCAGAGGGAAUGAAUUCUCUUUUAGUGAAUUCUCUCUUUGUUCUAUUCAAGCCUCCGAUGGAUUAGACGAGGCCCCCCCACAUUGUGGAGGGCGACUUGCUUUACUCCGUCUUCGGAAUCGAAUGUUCAUCUCAUCCGGAAACAUCCUCACAGACACGCCCAGAAUAGCGUUGAGCCAAAUAUCUGGGCACCUCCUGUCCCAGUCCAGUUGACACAUAAAAGUCACCAUCACAUUCGUCUCCCUUCACUAAAACAGAAGCCCUAUGAAGGCAGGGACUCUAUCCGUUUCCUUCUCUGUGGUGUCCCCAGCACCUAGAAUUCCACCUGGCUCCAAGUGGCUGCUUAGUAACUGGUUCUUGAGCGAAUGGAUGAAACUAACCCAUCUCUCCCUGGAUUGAGGGUCUGGAGGCCCGGGAUGGUGCAUGUUCAGUGGGUUUGUGCCUAAGCUGGGACUCAACCCAGGGCGCUGUUAUCUAUUGCUGCAUCAAACUUAAUAGCUUCAAAUGACGUUUAUUAUGUCAUAGUUUCUGCAGGUCAGGAAUCAGGCGCAGCUUAGCUGGCCCUGGCCUCUCUGUUCAAGGUCUCUCGCGGUGUCGGCCAGGGCUGCAGUCCACUGGGGGCAAAUCCACUUUUAAGUUCACGUGGUUGUUGGCCGAAUUCUGUUCCUUUAGGGUUGUUAGAUUGAGGACCUCAAUUCUGUGCUGCCUGUUGGCUGGAGGCGGCCUCAGGUCCUUGCCACGUGAGCCUUUCCGCUGUGGGAGGUUGCUUCCUCCAAGGGUGCCAGCUGAGAAGGCAGCGGAGAGAGCCUGCUAGCAAGAUGGAAUCAUAAUCAUCCGUAACCGAAAUACGGAAGCAGCAUCCAUCACCUUCGUCACAUUCAAUUGAGUCAUAGGUACUGUCCACACUCAGAAGGAGGGGAUUACUCAAAGCUAUGAAGACUAAGAGAUGGGGAGCAGGUGGCCAUCUCAUCUUUGAGUCUGCCUGUCACAGGUGGGUAGGCGCACAGACUCUGGAGCCAGGGUUCAAAUCCCUGCUCUGUCACUUCUUUCCUGUGUGAUCUUAGGUAAGUUACUUAACCUCUCUGUACUUUAGCUUCAACCUUUGAAAAAUUAGGCAAAUAAUAGUAUCUGCUUCAUAAGGUUGUUGUGGGAAUUAAAUAAGGAUACAGAAGUGCUUAGAACAGGGCCUGCACACGGAAGAGCUAAGUAACAAUUGGCUGUUACUCCUGCUCCUUUGGGCAGGCGUGCAGCGUAACCCUUAAAGGAAGUGCAGUGAAAGCUGCCCCGUGUUUCCUCCUUCUGUGGGAUUGUUCAGUCCAAUCUAGACCCUGUUCAUGCCACAAUUUCUCCUGCUUAGAGACUUUACCCCCAUAGGUUGAACUUUCUGAGAAUUUUUGAGUCAUAAACCAAGGGCAAUAAAUCUGGGAUCAUCAAAUGCCAGCUCGUGGGUUAGUGGCUGCUUAACGAAGAGUUCUGAUGGGCGUGGAAACAGAGGCGUGGUGUGGUGUCUGAUGGCCCAGAUCUGAUCGUUGAGGUAACCAGGAGACGGAACGUGAACUUGACUCAGGAAGAAAAUUACAUUGAGUUUCUGCUGCAUGAGACAGACUUCUUCUUUUGUUUUUCAAGGAAGUGAACUGGCUGGAGCAUGGUCUGAACUCGGGAGCUCAAGAUACAGACCGCAAGCUGUCUGUCCUUAAGCACUGAAGUCCUCAGAAAUCUGGAGCCACGGACAACUUAUUGUGUUCCAGUCCUAGGAUUUAUUCUUGAUUAGGACAAAGUCAUGGAAUGGAGUGAGCCUGUCUAUGAGCAAACAACCGAUGGUGAUGAGUCCUGAGAUGCACCACCUGUCACUGCUUCCUUUAGGCUUUUUAAACAGCUGUGUAGACUCCCAAUGGGUGUUUGAGUUGGAAGCCUCCUUAGACAUCAUUGCGUCCAGCUCAAACUCCAACCCGGUUCACCCCUGGCUGAUCGGCUUCAUGCUGGGAAGGAGACCACCACCUUCUGAGCCAGCUCGUCCGCUUGUAGACCCAAGGGAUUGAUGGACACGUCUCUGUCCACGGUGCCGAAGUCUCCCUCGGUGCGCCCACCUCCGCUGGUCUGCCUUCUCAUCAGUCUUCCACAAGACAGCCCGGGAAAUCUUCAGCCCCCGACCCCCGAUUGUAUUCCCAGUUCCUUUAAAAAAAAAAAAAACAAAACUCCCUAUCCUGUCACCCUGCUCACAAUGUGCACAGGUUUUCAGGGUGGUACCAAGACUUAUAUAUAAUUUUCCAUAUAUGGUCUGACACAGGCCCUGGACACUUAGUAUUUCUCUUCCUUUUUGUUUCAAACUUUUUAUUUUGAAAUAACGUGAAACUGAUAGGGAAGUUGUAGAAACCAUACAAAGAACUCCUCUGUGCUCUUAACCCAGGUGCACUGAUUGGUACUUGGUGUUUUUAGAAAACAGGACGGGCCCGUGACAAGGCUGUGAGGGUUCAGCAGAUCGUCUGUGUGGCCUGUGCACUGGGAUUCAGGGAAUGCGGUCGCAAGUUGCAUAACUUUUGGGGGACCUGUCACACACAGUUACCAUGGGCUGGGUUUGACAUUAAACACAUUCUCCAGCUCAUUUGCAA